UCCCUGGUGGUCCAGUGGGUAGGAUAUUGUGCUCCCAAUGCAGGGGACCUGGGUUCGAUCCCUGGUCAGAGAA
RNAcentral lists this transfer RNA (73 nucleotides) under Bos taurus (domestic cattle). It matches the Rfam family "tRNA". From Rfam's summary of the family: Transfer RNA (tRNA) molecules are approximately 80 nucleotides in length. Their secondary structure includes four short double-helical elements and three loops (D, anti-codon, and T loops). Further hydrogen bonds mediate the characteristic L-shaped molecular structure. tRNAs have two regions of fundamental functional importance: the anti-codon, which is responsible for specific mRNA codon recognition, and the 3' end, to which the tRNAs corresponding amino acid is attached (by aminoacyl-tRNA synthetases). tRNAs cope with the degeneracy of the genetic code in two manners: having more than one tRNA (with a specific anti-codon) for a particular amino acid; and 'wobble' base-pairing, i.e. permitting non-standard base-pairing at the 3rd anti-codon position. Lineage: Eukaryota; Metazoa; Chordata; Mammalia; Artiodactyla; Bovidae. The record is from Rfam by way of RNAcentral. RNAcentral also lists the same sequence under 3 other names.